GAUGAACGCUGGCGGCGUGCCUAAUACAUGCAAGUCGAGCGAACAGGCGAGGAGCUUGCUCCCCUGACGUUAGCGGCGGACGGGUGAGUAACACGUGGAUAACCUACCUAUAAGACUGGGAUAACUUCGGGAAACCGGAGCUAAUACCGGAUAAUAUAUUGAACCGCAUGGUUCAAUAGUGAAAGACGGUUUUGCUGUCACUUAUAGAUGGAUCCGCGCCGCAUUAGCUAGUUGGUAAGGUAACGGCUUGCCAAGGCAACGAUGCGUAGCCGACCUGAGAGGGUGAUCGGCCACACUGGAACUGAGACACGGUCCAGACUCCUACGGGAGGCAGCAGUAGGGAAUCUUCCGCAAUGGGCGAAAGCCUGACGGAGCAACGCCGCGUGAGUGAUGAAGGUCUUCGGAUCGUAAAACUCUGUUAUUAGGGAAGAACAAAUGUGUAAGUAACUAUGCACGUCUUGACGGUACCUAAUCAGAAAGCCACGGCUAACUACGUG
This 497-nucleotide ribosomal RNA is filed under the name uncultured bacterium. RNAcentral's name for it is "partial 16S ribosomal RNA". It matches the Rfam family "Bacterial small subunit ribosomal RNA", at positions 28 to 507 of the family's 1533-position model. The record is from RNAcentral.